RNAcentral lists this small RNA (2237 nucleotides) under Pan troglodytes (chimpanzee). Its description in RNAcentral is "retained intron". Lineage: Eukaryota; Metazoa; Chordata; Mammalia; Primates; Hominidae. The record is from RNAcentral.
UUGAUUCUCAGCGGCUGAAGGACUGAGUUCCCCAGAGAUGGACCCGGGUGUCAUAGCUGCUUCCAGGGGCCUCAGGGACACAGGCGGGACUCCAGUGUGCAGGAGGAGACACACGUCAGGGGUGGGUGUGUGACUUCCACGCUGCUGACAGUGACCCAAGGAUGCAGUUCAGGGUCAGAUGCCGUUAGAUCAACCACUUCAAUGUAUUAUAAAACUAUUAUGAAAACUACUUUUGCUACCCAGGAAGGUAGUUGAGUUCACUUAGAAUUCCUAAGUCAGCUAGGCUGUUUAUCUGAAAGUGGUUACUUGUCCCUGACCAUCUGGAAUGGCUCAAAUGAACUCCUGCAGACCACGGAGCUCAUCUUUGGGAACCCAGUCUCUCUUUUUGGGGAAGUGAGCCCCUUCCUUGGGAACCCCUGAGGGCAGGCAUGGCCCCUGUGGAUGGUGGGAGGAUGCCCCACCCUGAGGACCCCAGAGGCUCCUGUGGCCCCUUCCUGGGACUGCUGGGGCCCGUGUGUGUCAGUGUUCACCCCAAGGCCCCCUUUCAGCUGAGCUGGACGCCGAGUGCCUUCAGGCCUCAUCCUGACCUCCACCAUCCCAUAGUCAGUGAGGCUGUGGCAUCUCCCUCCUCGACUGUCUUGCCCUCUUGGUUUUUGUAUCAGCGUUUUCCAGCCUGAUUGCUGCUGAAGCUUCGUUUCUUGUCUUUUUCUUUUUGAGACAGUCUUGCUCUGUUGACCAGGCUGGAGUGCAGUGGCAUGAUCUUGGCUCACUGCAACCUCAGCCUCCCAAUUAGCUGGGAUUGCAGGCAUGUGCCACUAUGUCCGUCUAAUUUUUGUAUUUUUAGUAGCGACGGGGUUUCACCGUGUUAGCCAGGAUGGUCUCGGUCUCCUGACCUCGUGAUCCGCCCACCUCGGCCUCCCAAAGUGCCGGGAUUACAGGCGUAAGCCACUGCGCCCGGCCUGGAGCUUCCUUUCUUUGGGUUUUCCGAUGUUCUUGACUCUGUUGUAGCUGAGCUAGACUGGGGACUGGGUUUCCGGGUUUGCUUUGUCUCUCCUGAAGGGCUGAGGUUCCAGUGCCAGCAUGCACUGCACAGGGAGCAGAGGGAGGAAGGAGGAUCCCACUGCGGAGACACAGUGACUGAGGCCAAGGGCAGCUUGGGCCGGGCCAGCAGUGAGGGGAGACGUCUGGGUAGAAGGUGUCAUGCUAGGCGGGGGCGGGGGGUGACCUGUGGGCCUUGGGUCUUUUUGCAGAGUUGGGGGACAGCGAGGAGCAAACACCUGCCAUCGCCCACUUUGUUUUCUGUGGGACCUCCUAGGACAGUGAGGCCCCUGCCUCACCAGGGCAUGGCCCACUCCGCUGUCCAGGCCUUCGUCCCGGCUGCCUCUGCUGUGGGGCAGGGAAGGGGCUGGGUGUCCAGGACACAGGCGCUUCCAGGCUUCAUACACAGAUGCCUUUUCUCUGACUUCCUUAACUCCCAUGUGUAGCUAUACACAGAAUGGGAUUUUACAUAUGCUGGACAGAAAUAAGAGAAUCAAGCCCCGGCCAGAAAGAUUCCAGAACUGCAAAGACCUGUUUGAUCUGAUCCUCACUUGCGAAGAGAGAGUGUAUGACCAGGUGGUGGAAGAUCUGAAUUCCAGAGAACAGGAGACCUGCCAGCCCGUGCACGUGGUCAAUGUGGACAUCCAGGACAACCACGAGGAGGCCACCCUGGGGGCGUUUCUCAUCUGUGAGCUCUGCCAGUGUAUCCAGCACACGGAAGACAUGGAGAACGAGAUCGACGAGCUGCUGCAGGAGUUCGAGGAGAAGAGUGGCCGCACCUUUCUGCACACCGUCUGCUUCUACUGAGCCCAGCGCCUGCAUGGAGCCGCCUCUGGAGCUUCCUGUUGUUCAUACUUUCUCCUUCCUGACAUUUGUUUUUACUUACAGGUGUUCUGCUGGUGACGGUAGCAUUACCCAAAUAAACUGUGCAUAUGAAAUGGGAGAGGAGAUGCCAAAAUGCCAGAUGAAAGCAAUCAAGUUUCUUCUUUUCCACUUUUACUUAUGAGCGGGAUAUUGAUUACAAAGUUUUUCUUCUUUAACCAAAAAGGAAAGACAACGGUUUGUGUGCACUUCCCGACAUACCUGUGUCUUCGUGUGCCUGCCUUCCCUCCCUCCUCCCCACCCGGCCGGACUGUACAGAGCCCUGCUGCGGCGUGUUAGGAAUGACCUGGAAUUGUCAAUAAACAGAUGCUGCUGUC